Molecule: long non-coding RNA, 330 nt
Organism: Silurus meridionalis
Lineage: Eukaryota; Metazoa; Chordata; Actinopteri; Siluriformes; Siluridae
Exons: 3
Source: RefSeq, a predicted model, not a curated record
GCAAGGAACAAGAGGAACGGUUAAUGUGAUUUCAGAGCAAGUCACCAAUGUGAAAAUAAAUUAAAACAUUCCUCAAACCCAUGGUCUUAUAUAAGGGAGAUGUUCAAAAUUACCGGUGUAAAAAAGUGCUGGCUUUCAAGAAUUCGCCAUCAAAUCUGAGAAAUCACAAACAGCUGCUCCAAAAACUCAGAGAAUACAACAAAACCAAAAGCUUGAGUGACACCACCAGAAGGAAGAUGAUCAAGAUUCUUGCUGCAGAUAUGACUGAAAAGCACAGAUGAACAGUGUAGAGAAGCAGUUUCCCUCCAAAACACACCUUAGAAGUGGACA